UACGUAGGUGACAAGCGUUAUCCGGAUUUACUGGGCGUAAAGGGCAUGUAGGCGGUUUGGCAAGUCAGAAGUGAAAUUCCUGAGCUCAACUCGGGCGCUGCUUCUGAAACUGCUAGACUUGAGUGCUGGAGGGGAUAGCGGAAUUCAUAGUGGAGCGGUAAAAUGCGCAGAUAUUGGGAAGAACACCGGUGGUGAAGGCGGCUAUCUGGACAGUAACUGACGCUGAGGCGCGAAAGCGUGGGGAGCAAAC
Molecule: ribosomal RNA, 250 nt
Filed under: uncultured prokaryote
Description: partial 16S ribosomal RNA
Rfam family: Bacterial small subunit ribosomal RNA
Source: RNAcentral